Long non-coding RNA from Strigops habroptila (Kakapo), 777 nucleotides. RefSeq lists it as uncharacterized. The record is from RefSeq and is a predicted model, not a curated record. NCBI's taxonomy places the organism in Eukaryota, Metazoa, Chordata, Aves, Psittaciformes, Psittacidae. The transcript has 2 exons.
CUGGGAAUAAGUUGCUUUUCUUGUAAAAUAUUUCACUGUUUAGAGCAAUGUUUGUUGUAGCAAGGCCUUUUCCUCCUGCACAGAUUUAAACUGUCACAUUGGGGGUUGAUUAGUAAUACUGUUGAAAUAUUAAAACUUGCAGGCUUUCUGAAACAAAUUUCCUCCGUACUUUGUUGUGUGCAGUUUCUUAGGAUGCAGUGCUCUGAUGAUCUACUUGUUUGAUAGUAGCUAACUUAGAGUAAAUGAAUCUUGAAUUCAAAAGUUACCUGGAAAAAUUCCUACAGCUGGAGCUGCCAUGGGCAAGGGCAAAUUCAGUAUUAAUAUGGGUAACAAAAGAAGUUAACAAAAUGAAUGUGAAAAAGGGUAUGUAACCAAAUAUUUAUUCUCAUAUCUAGUAGUACUUACCACUCUCCUAAUAAUAGUCUUUUAUUAUUUAGUUUAAGACUGUAGUUGCCCUGCAGAAGAGGAUUUGGAGACAUAAUCUAAGGGAAUACCAAAUAUGGGACUACUUAAGAGAGAAAUUCAAAGAACCUUUAAAUCUGAUGGACAUGCUCUUCAGCACAUGGCUGCCAAGUACGUCAGGCAACCAGGACCCAUGGAGGUGAAGCUUCCUGAAUGGUGACUGCAACUUAGCCUUUCAGAAGGUAAAACUUUGUGACUGUAACUUGUAUGAAAUGUGCUUAACAUAUGCAAUUUCUUCCAAUGCUGCUGUGAGUGCAGCUGUUAUACCCAACACUUAACAAAAUACUAAUAAAAGCCAUUAUCAUUCAUCAGUUA